Molecule: small RNA, 110 nt
Filed under: Escherichia coli
Lineage: Bacteria; Pseudomonadati; Pseudomonadota; Gammaproteobacteria; Enterobacterales; Enterobacteriaceae
Description: partial RtT sRNA
Rfam family: RtT RNA
About the family: This family represents a bacterial cis-regulatory element known as RtT RNA.
Source: RNAcentral
AUUCUGCCCAUGCGGGGAAGGAUGAGAAGCUUCGACCAAGGUUCGACUCGAGCGCCAGCGAGAGAGCGUUGCCGCAGGCAACGACCCGAAGGGCGAAGCGCGCAGCGCUG